RNAcentral lists this ribosomal RNA (253 nucleotides) under uncultured bacterium. RNAcentral's name for it is "partial 16S ribosomal RNA". It matches the Rfam family "Bacterial small subunit ribosomal RNA", at positions 524 to 776 of the family's 1533-position model. The record is from RNAcentral.
UACGUAGGGGGCAAGCGUUGUCCGGAUCCAUUGGGCGUAAAGAGCGUGUAGGCGGCCAGGUAGGUCGGUUGUGAAAACUGGAGGCUCAACCUUCAGAGGUCGACCGAAACCAUCUGGCUAGAGUCCGGGAGAGGAGAGUGGAAUUCCUGGUGUAGCGGUGAAAUGCGCAGAUAUCAGGAAGAACACCCGUGGCGAAGGCGGCUCUCUGGGACGGUACUGACGCUGAGACGCGAAAGCGUGGGGAGCGAACAGG